AAUACGUAGGGUGCGAGCGUUGUCCGGAUUUACUGGGCGUAAAGAGCUCGUAGGUGGCUUGUCGCGUCGUCUGUGAAAGUCUAGGGGCUUAACUCCGGGUGUGCAGGCGAWACGGGCUGGCUUGAGUUCUGUAGGGGAGACUGGAAUUCCUGGUGUAGCGGUGGAAUGCUGCAGAUAUCAGGAGGAACACCGAUGGCGAAGGCAGGUCUCUGGGCAUGCCACUGACCGCUGAGGAGCGAGAGCAUGGGUAGCGAACAGGAUUAGAUACCCUGGUAGUCCAUGCUGUAAACGGUGGGCGCUAGGUGUGGGGACUUUCCUUGGUUUCCGUGUCGUAGCUAACGCGUUAAGCGCCCCGCCUGGGGAGUACGGCCGCAAGGCUAAAACUCAAAGGAAUUGACGGGGGCCCGCACAAGCGGCGGAGCAUGUGGAUUAAUUCGAUCGCAACGCGAAGAACCUUACCUGGGUUUGACAUGCACUAGAUAUAGGCGAGAGAUCGUCUGUCCCUUUGUGGCUGGUGUGCAGGUGGUGCAUGGUUGUCGUCAGCUCGUGUCGUGAGAUGUUGGGUUAAGUCCCGCAACGAGCGUAACCCUUGUCUUAUGUUGCCAGCACGUUGUGGUGGGGACUCGUGAGAAACUGCCGGGGUGAACUCGGAGGAAGGUGGGGAUGACGUCAAAUCAUCAUGCCCCUUAUGUCCAGGGCUUCACACAUGCUACAAUGGCCGGUACAGUAGGUUGCGAGACCGUGAGGUGGAGCUAAUCCUUUAAAGCUGGUCGUAGUUCGGAUUGGGGUCUGCAACUCGACCCCAUGAAGUCGGAGUCGCUAGUAAUCGCAGAUCAGCAACGCUGCGGUGAAUACGUUCCCGGGCC
This 866-nucleotide ribosomal RNA is filed under the name uncultured Corynebacterium sp. Its description in RNAcentral is "bacterial SSU rRNA". It matches the Rfam family "Bacterial small subunit ribosomal RNA", at positions 522 to 1380 of the family's 1533-position model. Lineage: Bacteria; Bacillati; Actinomycetota; Actinomycetes; Mycobacteriales; Corynebacteriaceae. The record is from RNAcentral.